UGGGGAAUCUUAGACAAUGGGCGCAAGCCUGAUCUAGCCAUGCCGCGUGAGCGAUGAAGGCCUUAGGGUUGUAAAGCUCUUUCGUGGGGGAAGAUAAUGACUGUACCCCAAGAAGAAGCCCCGGCUAACUCCGUGCCAGCAGCCGCGGUAAUACGGAGGGGGCUAGCGUUGUUCGGAAUUACUGGGCGUAAAGCGCACGUAGGCGGACUGGAAAGUCAGGGGUGAAAUCCCGGGGCUCAACCCCGGAACUGCCUUUGAAACUCCCAGUCUUGAGUUCGAGAGAGGUGAGUGGAAUUCCGAGUGUAGAGGUGAAAUUCGUAGAUAUUCGGAGGAACACCAGUGGCGAAGGCGGCUCACUGGCUCGAUACUGACGCUGAGGUGCGAAAGCGUGGGGAGCAAACA
RNAcentral lists this ribosomal RNA (402 nucleotides) under uncultured prokaryote. RNAcentral's name for it is "bacterial SSU rRNA". It matches the Rfam family "Bacterial small subunit ribosomal RNA", at positions 355 to 774 of the family's 1533-position model. The record is from RNAcentral.